CAGUCGCCACGGGAAUACGAAGGGUGCAAGCGUUAAUCGGAAUUACUGGGCGUAAAGCGCGCGUAGGUGGUUUGUUAAGUUGGAUGUGAAAUCCCCGGGCUCAACCUGGGAACUGCAUUCAAAACUGACUGACUAGAGUAUGGUAGAGGGUGGUGGAAUUUCCUGUGUAGCGGUGAAAUGCGUAGAUAUAGGAAGGAACACCAGUGGCGAAGGCGACCACCUGGACUAAUACUGACACUGAGGUGCGAAAGCGUGGGGAGCAAACAGGAUUAGAUACCCCUGUAGUCCCUGUCUCUUAUAA
This 301-nucleotide ribosomal RNA is filed under the name uncultured bacterium. RNAcentral's name for it is "partial 16S ribosomal RNA". It matches the Rfam family "Bacterial small subunit ribosomal RNA", at positions 509 to 809 of the family's 1533-position model. The record is from RNAcentral.